This 500-nucleotide ribosomal RNA is filed under the name uncultured bacterium. RNAcentral describes it as "partial 16S ribosomal RNA". It matches the Rfam family "Bacterial small subunit ribosomal RNA", at positions 30 to 523 of the family's 1533-position model. The record is from RNAcentral.
AUUGAACGCUGGCGGCAUGCCUUACACAUGCAAGUCGAACGGUAACGGGUCCUUCGGGAUGCCGACGAGUGGCGAACGGGUGAGUAAUAUAUCGGAACGUGCCCAGUAGCGGGGGAUAACUGCUCGAAAGAGCAGCUGAUACCGCAUACGACCUGAGGGUGAAAGGGGGGGAUCGCAAGACCUCUCGCUAUUGGAGCGGCCGAUAUCAGAUUAGCUAGUUGGUGGGGUAAAGGCCUACCAAGGCAACGAUCUGUAGUUGGUCUGAGAGGACGACCAGCCACACUGGGACUGAGAACCGGCCCAGACUCCUACGGGGGGCAGCAGUGGGUAAUUUUGGACAAUGGGCGCAAGCCUGAUCCAGCAAUGCCGCGUGAAGGAAGAAGGCCUUCGGGUUGUAAACUGCUUUUGUCAGGGAAGAAAUCUUCUGGGCUAAUACCCCGGGAGGAUGACGGUACCUGAAGAAUAAGCACCGGCUAACUACGUGCCAGCCGCCGCCGUAA